UACGAGGGGGGCAAAUGUUGUUCGGAAUCACUGGGCGUAAAGGGCGCGUAGGCGGUUCGUACAGUCAGACGUGAAAUUCCUGGGCUCAACCUGGGGGCUGCGUUUGAUACGUGCGGACUUGAGUGCGGAAGAGGGUCGUGGAAUUCCCAGUGUAGAGGUGAAAUUCGUAGAUAUUGGGAAGAACACCGGUGGCGAAGGCGGCG
RNAcentral lists this ribosomal RNA (203 nucleotides) under uncultured bacterium. RNAcentral's name for it is "partial 16S ribosomal RNA". It matches the Rfam family "Bacterial small subunit ribosomal RNA", at positions 524 to 726 of the family's 1533-position model. The record is from RNAcentral.